This 1031-nucleotide long non-coding RNA is filed under the name Anas platyrhynchos platyrhynchos (common mallard). RNAcentral's name for it is "lncRNA (ENSAPLG00000026520.1)". Lineage: Eukaryota; Metazoa; Chordata; Aves; Anseriformes; Anatidae. The record is from RNAcentral.
GCCAGCCGCGGGAAGCCGCGCAGGCUGCGCCAGCUCACUUCUGAAGACCUCUUGAUAAACAUUUAUAAACAUUUGUAGUAUUUUAAAUUUCCCCUCAAUAAUUUAUGACUAGUUAUUUUAUAUACUUUAAAGUGGGUAAUAAUGUAAAAUUCAUAAGGCGGGAGCGCUCGGAGUGGCAGCGCAGCGUCGCGGGGCUGGGAGCGAGGCGCAGCCUUCCCCGCCUCCCGCAGCCCAGCUCCGGUGGAAACUUUGAAGGCUGCAGCAGCGGCGUCAAACGGGGAUGCGGAGGUUCCUGGUUAGCAGCUCCCCCUCCGCAGAGCUGCUCCGAGGAUUUGACACCGCAAUUGUUUUCUGAAGAGAACACGCGACUCCCUUCUUAUGUAUUCCCUUUCCCGGUGUUUGUAUUUGCUUCAAAGUCUCCUCAUCACCCUGUUUGGUGACAAAAACUCAUGUCUGGAGAUCAGGAGGCGCGUUCCUGAUUGAUCUGGAAGCAGCAGCUCGGUGCGAGGGAAGGAGUCUAUACACACCGCAACAGCUCUUUAAUUUCUUAAUUUAAUAUCUGACACGUAAAGAUUCUCAUUAAGCCAGUCAAUGAAGCCUGGAAAUACAAUUUUCGUGCAAACUGUCGCUAUCAUAACUUACACGAAACUUCAGCUGGUGCCCUGUAAGCGGCGUGAUUAAAACCAUUCAUCUUCCUUGUCAGCCUCCCCGUCACCGCGACACCCGUGCCCAGCGCCGUGCCACCGCCGUGCGGGGCCCGUGGGUGCUGGGUCCAACGCUGCAGCCCCAGCACCCGUGGGUGGGGGCCUGGGGGGCCGGAUCCUGCGGGGAGGCGUCCCCAGGGUGGGAGGUGCGCAGGAGGGAGGCCUUGCCAGAGAUGCUAAUUAGGGAAAUGAAUUCCUGUUGAGUCUCAGCUCUUCUCGGCCACAGGGAAGAUAAAAAGCAUUGUGCUUCAGUGCUGAUUAAAUCCCGAAGACCGAGGCAGGGAUUAGUGCCGAAGCUGCUCCUCGGAGUGUCUGCAGCACGUGCAU